UUCUCUUGCUAGUGGAGUUCAUUCUGGUAUAUGGUUUGAGACAAAAAAACAACAUAUAAUGGUGGUUCACAAGAGAAGCAUAACAACACCAGCACUCUAGUUAUUUAAGUGAAAUUAACUACAUUUGAAACACAUUAUAACCCAGCCAUUCUGGACAAUUAACCUAAGUAAUAACAUUUCACAUAAAAGUUGGGCACACAAUGCCUCUAAAAACAGCAACUGGCCCGAAGUUGUUGGAUACCAUCUCUUGGAUCACCCCCUGCCCCGGCCUGCACCUCUGUUUCCACCUGUCUUUCCACCUAAGCCACCUCUGCCACGGCCUCCACCAGCAGCCUUAGCAUCAUCAAGGCCACGCCCAAUGCCUUUCACUGGCCUCCCGCCAUCCUCUCUACCUCUUCCUCUUCCACGACCCACCCCAGGUGGCUUCCGAUCUGUGCGGCUCUU
This 444-nucleotide unclassified non-coding RNA is filed under the name Hevea brasiliensis (rubber tree). The record is from RNAcentral. Lineage: Eukaryota; Viridiplantae; Streptophyta; Magnoliopsida; Malpighiales; Euphorbiaceae.